Daldinia bambusicola is the source of this 94-nucleotide non-coding RNA. NCBI's taxonomy places the organism in Eukaryota, Fungi, Ascomycota, Sordariomycetes, Xylariales, Hypoxylaceae. The record is from the annotation of a GenBank genome assembly.
GGGUUCAUGGCCUAAUGGUAAGGCGUCAGAUUUCGGUUCCACUUAAUGGUACUCCGCUCUCUGAAGAUUGCAGGUUCGAUCCCUGCUGAGCUCG